RNA transcript from Camelus dromedarius (Arabian camel), 3398 nucleotides. It is a transcript of the gene named diphthamide biosynthesis 2, with no coding region annotated. The transcript is spliced from 7 exons. The record is from RefSeq and is a predicted model, not a curated record. NCBI's taxonomy places the organism in Eukaryota, Metazoa, Chordata, Mammalia, Artiodactyla, Camelidae.
UAAUCUCCCUUGAGACCCAUGCGUAGCUGAGAAACGGGAAUUUGAAAGGGUUGGGGGCUGGACCAAGGGCUGCGGAGUGAAUGACCCCCAGCCCCCUGCCCCUACCAAACGACUCUGACCCCUUGAGGACUGCGUUUGAGGACGCGGGGCCUGAAGCUGACCGAGGGAGAUCCCCGCUGCUUCCCGCCACCGAAGCUGUGCCUCAUGGUAUCUACGUUCAGUAGCCCCGCCGAGGCGGCGCUGCAGCGAGAGGCGGGCGCAGCAGGGCUGCUCACUCCUCUCGAUGACCUGGAUCGAGUGUACGAGCUGGAGCGAGUCGUUGGAUUUGUCCGCAACCUGGGGUGUCGAAGGGUGGCCUUGCAGUUCCCUGACCAGCUGUUGGGAGAUGCUGGGGCCGUGGCUGCACGACUGGAGAGGGCUACGGGGUCGAAGAUGUUCAUUCUGGGAGACACGGCCUAUGGCAGCUGCUGUGUGGAUGUACUGGGUGCUGAGCAAGCUGGAGCUCAGGCCCUUGUACAUUUUGGCCCUGCCUGCUUAAGCCCUCCUGCCCGCCCACUGCCUGUGGCCUUCAUCCUUGGUCAACGUUCUGUGGCCUUGGAACUCUGCGCUAAGGCCUUUGAAGCCCAGAACCCAGACCCUACAGUUCCUGUGGUGCUGCUGAGUGAGCCGGCCUGCGCCCAUGCCCUGGAGGCCUUGGCCACUCUUCUGCGCCCACGGUACUCAGAUCUGGUUGUCUCCAGCCCGGCUUUUCCCCUGCGAGUGGAUUCCCUCAAUCCAGAUCCUGAACCCCUGGAGCGUUUUGGGCGCCACUUCCCCCUGGCUCCAGGGAGGUGUCUGGAAGAGUAUGGUGCCUUCUAUGUUGGGGGCUCUGAGUCCAUUUCAGACCCUGACCAUGACCCAGACCUGAGCCGGCUGCUCUUGGGCUGGGCACCAGGGCAGUCUUUCUUCUCCUGCUGCCCAGACACAGGGCAGACUCGGAAUGAAGGUGCUCGGGCUGGGCGGCUCAGAGCACGUAGACACUAUCUGGUAGAGAGAGCUAGAGAUGCCCGUGUGGUGGGGCUGCUGGCGGGCACACUGGGUGUGGCCCAACACCGUGAGGCACUGGCACACUUGCGGAACCUGACGCAGGCUGCCGGCAAGCGUAGCUAUGUUUUGGCCCUGGGACGACCCACGCCUGCCAAGCUUGCCAACUUCCCUGAGGUGGAUGUCUUUGUGCUAUUGGCCUGUCCUCUGGGUGCCCUAGCCCCCCAGCCUUCUGGCAGCUUCUUCCGGCCUGUAUUGACACCGUGUGAGCUGGAGGCUGCCUGCAACCCUGCCUGGCCACCUCCAGGCCUGGCUCCCCACCUCACACAUUAUGCAGACUUAUUACCUGGCUCUCCCUUCCACGUGCCCCUCCCUCCACCUGACUCAGAGCUGUGGGACACCCCAGAUGUGUCACUCAUUACUGGGGACCUACGACCCCCACCUGCCUGGAAGCCAUCGAGUGAUCCUGGAUGCACAGCCCUAACGCCGCGGCCCCAACUGGAGCUGGCUGAGAGCAGCCCUGCAGCCUCGUUUCUUAGUUCUCGGAGCUGGCAGGGACUACAGCCCCGCUUGGGUCAGACGCCAGUGACAGGAGCUGUGAGCGGAAGACGAGGGAUUGCCAUCGCCUACGAGGAUGAGGGAAGCAGCUGAUACCAUGUGGGACCAGAGUCACAGGUGGACUUAAGAAUCACUGCUAAAACCUUUAGUGCUCCCUACAUCAACCUCACCCCUCUGCCAGGAUCCUUGAAGGAGACUCUCACUGAGGCAGCCCCUCACUUAGGAUAGGAUCCAGCUCUAUCCUGUCCUUUCCUGGCACUGGCACAGGUCUUACACAGGUCGUGUGGGUCCAGAUCUGAAUUGUAUUUGACUGGAUUCCUGUCCUCACAGUGUAGUUGGAAGAAAGGCAGUUAAAACAGGCAAUUACCACACAGUGAAGCAGUAUUUGUGAGGAGGGAAGUCCCCAAGGGUAGCUGAAGCCCAGAAGAGACUUACCAGAGGGAGUGUUACCCAAGCUGGAUCUCUUUGAGAAAAAAAAUAAUUAUCGGAAGAAAUGGAGUGAAAAGGACAUUUGGGCAAAGGGUACACCAUGCUUAAACACACAGGCAUGAACUAGCAUGGUGGGUGCUUCAAGCAAAGUGGAGUUGCUGGACCCUAAAGGUUCAGAGGUAUGAAGAAAACUACUCACGUCAUUCCCUGCAUUUGCUGAGAAUUUUGGCCUAUUGGCAUUGUCCGGGGUGUUGAAGAAGCCAGUGAACAGGGAGAUGUGGUUACUGCCCUCAAGGAUUGCCCAGUCUGCUGGUGGAGGCAAUUUAUAAACUCAACUGUGGUAACUGGGACAAGGGUACCAAUCAUGUUCUACAAAUAUGUAUUGGGCACCCACUGUGUGCCAAGCACUGGAAAUCCAGUGGUGAGCUCAGGGAUCCUUUAACAGUGCUUACAUUCUCUUGGUGGGACAAGCUAGACAAUCAUAACACUUAGUAUGCCGAAUGGUGAUGAGUGCCGUGGAGAAAUACAAAGCUAGGAAGGAGUGUAAGAGAGAGGGGCUUGCAAUAUUAAACAGGAUGGUCAGAGAGGGCCCCCCCCCCAUGUUUUAUGUUUAUCAGUAGUUCAUUGCUUUUUAUUGCUGAACAUUCACCCAUAGUAUAAAUAUGCUACAAUUAGACUAUGCAUGUUGACAGAAGGGAAGGCCUUUUGAAGACAACAAGCAAAGACUGAGAGAAGUUACAAGUGAGCCACAUGAAUAGUAGGGAAAGCAGUAGGAACAAGUGCACGUGCAAUGCGGUGGGAUAAUGACUGGUAUGUACAAGGAAUAGCAGGGAGGCCAGAACAGCCAGAGGAGGGAGUUAGUGGGGAAGUAUUAGGGGGUGAGGUCAGGUAAGAGGCAUGGGGAGCAGCAUCAGUAGAGGCCUAGAAGGCCACUAUAAGGACUAUGGCUUUUAUUCCGUGGGAAAUGGGAGCCACUGAGGUAUUUUAAAGAGAGUAACACCAUUUUGCUUAAGUUUCAUAAAGAUCUCCAGGGAGGCGGGGGAGCCCAGAGCAGGCGCCCUGCCUCUGGUUGUGGAAGGAAGGCUUCCUGGAAGAAUGGUAUCUGAGGACCAGCAGGUGUUGGCCAGGCCCUGUAGUGAGCACAAAGAAGCGUGCUUCAGGUAGAGGAAACAGCAGGGCUCAGGGAGAGAGCAGACACUCUCACGGAGCUGGGCGGGCCGGCCAGGGACGAGGCCCGCGGGAUCAGCACUGGCUUGGAGGCUAAGCUCGGGUGGAAAGCAGAGCUGGUGGGCCAGGGCAGGGAGGAGAAGGAGCGGGCGUGGAGGGAUGCGAGCCGGGCUGCCAGGGAGAGGGCGAGGUACUCCGUAAGGAGGGUACCCGAGCCCCUA